Molecule: ribosomal RNA, 500 nt
Filed under: uncultured bacterium
Lineage: Bacteria
Description: partial 16S ribosomal RNA
Rfam family: Bacterial small subunit ribosomal RNA
Source: RNAcentral
AUUGAACGCUGGCGGCAUGCUUUACACAUGCAAGUCGAACGGUAACAGGGUGCUUGCACCGCUGACGAGUGGCGAACGGGUGAGUAAUGCGUCGGAACGUGCCGAGUAGUGGGGGAUAACGCAGCGAAAGUUGUGCUAAUACCGCAUACGUACUGAGGUAGAAAGUGGGGGACCUUCGGGCCUCACGCUAUUCGAGCGGCCGACGUCUGAUUAGCUAGUAGGUGAGGUAAAGGCUCACCUAGGCGACGAUCAGUAGCGGGUCUGAGAGGAUGGGCCGCCGAACUGGGACUGGGACACGGACCAGACCCCUGCGGGAGGCAGCAGGGGGGAAUUUUGGACAAUGGGCGAAAGCCUGAUCAAGCCAUGCCGCGUGUCUGAAGAAGGCCUUCGGGUUGUAAAGGACUUUUGUCAGGGAGGAAAUCCCUAGUGCUAAUAACACUGGGGGAUGACAGUACCUGAAGAAUAAGCACCGGCUAACUACGUGCCAGCAGCCGCCGUAA